AGCCCAGCGCGCAAAAAAAAAGUCACACACAUAAAUUUCUCAAAUUAAAAGCUUGGCAGCAGACGCCGACGCCGGCAGCGACGUCAACUUCAACGCAGCCAGCAUGCCUCUUGUAUGAUUAUUACCGUUAAGUACAGUGGGUUAUGUGUGCGCGCGACCCAACAUGUCUGUGGUUUUGCGAUAGACACCGCAUAAAAUCGCGUACAAAACAAAUCAAAAAUUUUGUAUUCGAGUGUAACCGACUAGCCAAUACACUGUAUGUAAUGUAAAGCCAGCCUAAAGAUCGAUAAAGCUUGGCUCAGUGACUCUUAGACUAUAUGUGGAUUCAGCUGGGGGUGCGACGAUUGCUUUCUGAUUGCUGUUGGUGACUCUCAAACUGUAGAAAGCUUUCAAACUGUGAACAGGACCUAACACGUCUGUGCUUGUGCGACAGAGACAGCUGUUUAUAGCGUAACCCCAGCCUAAAGAUAAGUUGAAAACGCUUGGCUCAGUGACUCUUAGACUGUGAGCCCCAGGCAGUUCCUCUCAAACUGUAUAAAUUUAUAAACAAUUCCGUUGUGGGUAGGGCAAUUCUUUUUUGAAUGGUCUGGCUGACUCUCAAACUGUAAAAGGCUUUCAAACUGUGAUCUUUGAUCUCUGAUCUGCCUAAUUGAUGUAUCU
Drosophila novamexicana is the source of this 660-nucleotide long non-coding RNA. RefSeq lists it as uncharacterized. The record is from RefSeq and is a predicted model, not a curated record. The transcript has 3 exons. NCBI's taxonomy places the organism in Eukaryota, Metazoa, Arthropoda, Insecta, Diptera, Drosophilidae.